This is an RNA transcript of Macadamia integrifolia, 2214 nucleotides long. It is a transcript of the gene named beta-amylase 1, chloroplastic-like, with no coding region annotated. Lineage: Eukaryota; Viridiplantae; Streptophyta; Magnoliopsida; Proteales; Proteaceae. The transcript is spliced from 6 exons. The record is from RefSeq and is a predicted model, not a curated record.
AAGAAGAGGAAGCCAAUGAGGAGGAGAUUGAGACGAUUUAGAUUUAAAAUGGAAGACUGGGUGGGAGAGACUGCGAGAGUGGAAGUGAAGCUAAUCAGUUUUGGUGGUGCCACUGCCACCCGUCGCCCAUUUAGCGGUGCAGGAAAGGAUCCGAACUCAGAUAGAUUAAGCCCAAUCUAUAAAGUCAACACUUUAAAUCUCACCAAGGCCUCACUGUAAUCUAACCGGUGGUGGACAUGGCGGAGGCGGAGCAGUCAGCGGUGGUAGAUGAGGAGGAGGAGGAGGUGCGGUUGUAUAUGGAAGGUGGGGCUGCGCAGGUGGUGAAAGGGCUGAAGGGGAAGGGGGUGCCAGUUUACGUGAUGAUGCCGUUAGAUAGUGUCACGGCGAACAACGGUGUGAACAAGAGGGAGGCCAUGAAUGCGAACAUGCAGGAGCUAAAGAAAGCCCGGGUGGAAGGGGUGAUGAUGGACGUGUGGUGGGGUUUGGUGGAAAGAGAUGCUCCUGGAUCUUACAACUGGGGUGGCUACACCGAGUUGCUUGAGAUGGCCAGGAACCAUGGCCUCAAGGUCCAGGCCGUCAUGUCCUUCCACCAGUGCGGUGGCAACGUUGGUGACUCUUGCACGAUACCGUUACCCAAGUGGGUGGUGGAGGAGAUGGACAAAGAUCAGGAUCUGGCGUACACAGAUCAAGUGGGUAGAAGGAACUACGAGUACGUCUCCCUCGGCUGCGACGCCCUUCCUGUUCUCAAGGGCCGUACGCCUGUCCAGUGCUACUCCGAUUUCAUGCGUUCUUUCAGGGAUAACUUCAAACACCUUCUAGGCAACACGAUCGUCGAGAUACAAGUUGGGAUGGGUCCAGCAGGGGAGCUCCGAUAUCCAUCGUACCCAGAGCUUAACGGGACAUGGAAAUUCCCUGGAAUUGGAGCUUUCCAAUGCUACGACAAGUACAUGCUCAGUAGCUUGAAAGCUGCAGCUGAAGCUUCCGGGAAACCAGAGUGGGGGAACGGAGGCCCUACAGAUGCAGGAGACUACAACAAUUGGCCUGAAGACACCCUGUUUUUCAGCAGAGAAGGCGGAGGUUGGAACAGCUCUUACGGCGAAUUCUUCCUCUCUUGGUACUCUGAAAUGCUUUUGAGCCACGGAGAGCGGAUACUAUCAUCAGCCCAGUCAAUUUUCAAUGAUGCAGGCGUCAAGAUCUCUGUAAAAAUCGCAGGCAUCCAUUGGCACUACGGAACCCGAGCCCACCCACCAGAGCUCACCGCAGGGUACUACAACACCCGCUACAGAGACGGCUACAUACCCAUCGCACGAAUGCUAUCACGCCACGGCGCAAUUUUCAACUUCACCUGCAUCGAGAUGCGCGAUCAAGAGCAGCCCCAGGACGCUCGGUGUGCGCCCGAGAAGCUUGUUCGGCAAGUGGCUUUGGCGACUAGAGAGGCUAAUGUGCCUCUUGCAGGGGAGAACGCCUUGCCGCGGUAUGAUGAGUAUGCAUAUGAGCAGAUACUGCGCGCAUCGUCGUUGAAUCUUGAUGGUGAUGAUGGAGGCAGGAAGGGAGAGGAGCAAGAGAUGUGUGCUUUCACGUAUUUGAGAAUGGACCCGCAGCUGUUUCAGGAGGAUAACUGGAGGAGGUUUGUUGGGUUUGUGAAGAAGAUGAGGAAAGACUGAACGCCAGGUUUACAGUCAACCCUCGUUGUCGGACUAGGCAGCAUAAUGGUGAAAUAACAAGUGUGGUUGGAGGACAAAGAGAAAACGCCCUUGGGACAUGGUAUUAUGCAUAUAUAGUUUCCCAAUUACCGUUUCUGCACUCCAGGGACCAGUUGAUGAGAAAUAUUGUAUCUGUGGCUAAUGAAUGAAGAGGGAGAUGCAAUGAAGGAUGCAAUGGCAAAAGGAUUGAACUCAGUUCUAAUAGUCCUGCUUCUUCUUGUAGGCAUAUUAUUGGUUUUACAUUGUUGGAAAUUAUCUAUGUUGACUGCUACAUUAAGAUUUUCCCUUUGUUGAUGCUUUUGGAGUUGAAGCCUGGUUGCAGCCUCUACUUGGAGAGCAGGCGCCAGGAGUGGGGAAGGUCUAAGGAUCGACUCCUGUCACAUGCAUCCCCCCCCCUCUUUCCCUCUAGUGUUUAUGAUUUAUAGACAUUAAAAAAAAUAAGGGGACUGAACUCCAAGGCCAUGAGCUUAGUGUUGGCGUUCUUAACCAGCCAAUAAUUAAUUUUCCUUUA